AUUUAAAUAGUUUAAUAAAAAUAUUGAUUUGUGGUGUCAAUGAUAUGAGAUUUUUCAUUUUAGAUC
RNAcentral lists this transfer RNA (66 nucleotides) under Culex lygrus. RNAcentral describes it as "tRNA-His". Lineage: Eukaryota; Metazoa; Arthropoda; Insecta; Diptera; Culicidae. The record is from RNAcentral.